GCGGGCGUGGUGUAACGGUUGCACGAGACCCUUCCAAGGUCUGAGUGCCGGUUCAAUUCCGGUCGCCCGCU
This 71-nucleotide transfer RNA is filed under the name Actinomycetes bacterium. Its description in RNAcentral is "Actinobacteria bacterium tRNA-Gly". It matches the Rfam family "tRNA". Rfam says of the family: Transfer RNA (tRNA) molecules are approximately 80 nucleotides in length. Their secondary structure includes four short double-helical elements and three loops (D, anti-codon, and T loops). The record is from RNAcentral. Lineage: Bacteria; Bacillati; Actinomycetota; Actinomycetes.